GGCGAAAGCCUUUAAAACCCGAUGCCCUAAACUUUGAUUGGUUGGGAGUCAUCGAUCCUCUACUUGCUACAUAGGUGAAUUGGUUAAGUUUAGUGAGUAAAAAGAAUUGUGAAUAAGAAGGUGCGUUCCUAACCUAUUAAGAGUUGGUUAAUUUUGCCAAAGUUCGAGAAAAGCUUAGGUUGGGGGGAGAGGAUAGUUGUACAUACUAUAUCCGGAAGCUAAUCUCAUUAACACUUAGCUCAUUAUGGAAGAGUUUGAUCCGGAACCUUGAGAGUAGAGAUUCUUUUGAUACUUAAUUGCACAAUCUCCACUCUUUGUACUUUUUGUUUAAGUUUUAGCUUUGACAACUCCUAUUGCAUUUUGAAUCUUCAUAUCUUUAGUUCACCAUGUGAGAUGUGUUUUGAUAUCAGUCAUGCCACUCAAUUAUUUUUUGGAGUGAUUUGCAUGACCUCUUUUAUGUAUAUUAUUAUGUUUGCUUAGUUUUUAUCUCCUCCAUUGCUAAGGGAC
Molecule: long non-coding RNA, 507 nt
Filed under: Vitis vinifera (wine grape)
Lineage: Eukaryota; Viridiplantae; Streptophyta; Magnoliopsida; Vitales; Vitaceae
Description: long non-coding RNA (VVIN_LNC003317)
Source: RNAcentral